UACGAAGGGGGCUAGCGUUGCUCGGAAUCACUGGGCGUAAAGGGUGCGUAGGCGGGUCUUAAGUCGGGGGUGAAAUCCUGGAGCUCAACUCCAGAACUGCCUUCGAUACUGGAAGACUUGAGUCCGGGAGAGGUGAGUGGAACUGCGAGUGUAGAGGUGAAAUUCGUAGAUAUUCGCAAGAACACCAGUGGCGAAGGCGGGACUCUGGGCCGAUACUGACGCUGAGGAGCGAAAGCGUGGGGAGCAACAGGG
Molecule: ribosomal RNA, 252 nt
Filed under: uncultured bacterium
Lineage: Bacteria
Description: partial 16S ribosomal RNA
Rfam family: Bacterial small subunit ribosomal RNA
Source: RNAcentral